AGGCCCUGGAUCUUGGAAUUCUGUCACUCCAGGUAACUUUCUUACUGCUGCAAUACUCAUGAUCCCUUUGGUAUUUCACUUUUUUUCCCUCCACAUUUAUGAAUUCUCAACGCAAACUUACACUGAGCUCGAAUUGAUUCAAAGAUAUGGGUUCAACGAAAAACAGACUGAAUAGAUUGAAAUUCCAGACAGACAUGUGUUUUUAUUUUUUUUAAAUGUAAACAUUUAUUGUGUUGACUUAAUCGUACAGAGUCCAUGGUACAAGAACGAGUCAGUCCCCUACAGUCAGGAUUCACAGGUCAUUUGCAAACAUGCCUAACAUAGUCUAUGAUCUUGUGGGCCAUAGUGCACUCAUGCAAACAUCUCUUUAAAAUCCAACAUUGUCAUUAAAACAUUGCACUCACCCUCAGCGUAGUGCAUGCCUCCACACACAUUGCACACAUUCCAUCUAUUGUACUCUUGCUUUCUACAUGAUGCAUCAUUCUACACACACUUCACCCUGACUGUUUACAGUUUAAACUCAUGUAGUGCACACAUGCACUCUGAUUGCACAUUCCCCACAACAAAUUGCCCAUAACCAACUACAUAUAGUGCGGUCUUGAUAACGUACAGUAUAUUUACAGGCUAUUACAUACUAUGCUCAAAGAGUACACAUUUGUUGUUCAUGUAGAGUACACAUUGUUGUAAAACCGUACAGUACAUCACACUAUCAAACACAUUUAGUAUACAGCCAUUGCAUAGUUUCUCAAAUGAAGUCUUAAACAGUGAAACAAAUAUGAAUUGCAGUUGCUCCGAAUGAUAGUCAUAUUAUUUAUUACAAAAAGUUACAAAGUAUAAAAGUUGCAUAGAGUAAAAAUGUUCACAUGAAAUCCCAAAAUAAUUGUUUGGAAAACUGUAUAUGCAACUUUCUAGUCAAUCCGUUAAUUUAAGACUCAGACAGUUAAGCAAAUUAAACAUUCCAAUGUUUAUAUUUUGAUAUUGAUACACUUCUAAAAAAUAUCUAAAAAUCCAAAUCAGUUGAGAAAAACGCUGUAAAAUCCCAACAUAUUUUGCUGUCUGGAGCAGGGCUCAGAAACGUUCCUGUAUUGCACUUUCAUUUCUAAUCUCUCACAUCACCCUACAGUAUACAACAGAUUGUCUGGGGAAAAAUCUAAACCCUCUGAGAAAUUGAAUGAUCGUCAUUAGCAAAUUCUAAAAUAUCUACUUUGUGGAUUCAUUUGCAUAGGUUUCAAAAGAUGCAUAGAAAUAAUAUACACAACAACAAAAAAUACACACAUUUUCACAUUUUGAAAAUAAUUUGAGAAAUUCUAACUAAACUAGUAUUCAUAUCCAUUAUGUAAACUAAAUAACACAUAAAUUAUCGUCCUACUCUGAUUUCUAUACUACAAUUGUUUAAAUCACUCAAUUAGCACAUUUCUAUGUUUUAUUUUAAUUAAUUGUACGUGUUCUAUCUAUACAUAAAUGAUCUGAAUACUAUGUGGGCUGUCCAAUAUAAGAUACUUAUUUACCAGUUGUAUCCUCCCCUUGAUAAUAAAAUCAGUGCUGCAGUGCGAUUCUACUACUAAACCAUACAACCUCCUCCAGUUGCAAAUAUUAUUUUUGCCAGGUAGCAUAAGCACAUGAUAAAUCCUAUGUCCGUUAACCAUAAGGAGGUUAAAAGACAUUUACUAUGAUUUGUGAUGUGUGUGCGUGUGUUGCUUACAAUCCCAGAACAGAACUUGCUCUGAGUGAGGGUGACUCAAAGUGUAUGCGCUUAGACAAACAAGCACAUAUACACAAACAAGCACAGCACACAUGAACAGAUCAGCAUGCUGACCCGUGUCGAAUGUAUUGCAGAUGUGACGGACACAGCUGUGUGUAGAGUCGUCUCAGAGAAGACAGUGUACCAUCACAACACAGAACACACACAUCUCACACCCUCCAUUUCUGUCCAUGUAUCCAGUCAGUUAGUUGUAGGAGGACAGAGACACACUAGUUCACAGUGGUCCAUUUCAACUUGUCCUUUGAUUGGUGUAUCCAAAGACGGUCUGGGGAUGAAGCCCACAGAGGCAGCUGUGGUUGGGUAUCCACUGGUAUCCAUGACCCAACAGUACAUUACCCCAUUUUCAGUUUGUCAGGCAUGUCCAGGCAUGUGCCUAAAGUUCACCCCAACCAAAAGGAGAUCGUUCAACGUCCACAAAGGGCUUCAGGUUUAAAUACUGGGGCAGAGAAAAAUGGAAGAGGAGCCAAUCCGGUUCCAUUUAGGUCAGGUGGGCACCACUACGUUCGGAAAUGGACCUCACCAUUGGUGAGGUGGGGUGGCCGUCGGAAGGUGGUGGACUGGCUGUGACAUAACUUCAAUGUGAUGGGUCACCUAGGGGGAUUGAAGAAGGGCAGAGGUUAAAAAGGGCUCAUUUUCAUGGGUAUAACAGGCAAGCUUGCAGUAGUAGGGCGAAGCAGAGGGGGAUUUUGGUUAGAAUGGGAUUCAAUUUGAGUCAAGAAUUUGCUCCUUUUCAUGGAGCCCUGUGUGAGUGGAUCUACACUACAAGGAUUGCAAUGCAUACUUGCACACUCAUCUUCUGCACAUCUAUCACUUCAGUGUUUAAUUGCUAUAUUGUAAUUAUUUUGCCACUAUGGCCUAUUUAUUGCCUUACCUCCCUUAUCCUACCUCAUUUGCACACACGGUAUAUAGACUUUUUCUAUUGUAUUAUUCACUGUAUGUUUGUUUAUUCCAUGUGUAACUCUGUGCUGUUGUUUGUGUCACACUGCUUUGCUUUAUCUUGGCCAGGUCGCAGUUGUAAAUGAGAGCAUGUUCUCAACUAGCCUACCUGGUGAAAUAAAGGUGAAAUAAAAAAUAGAUAUAUGGUGCCAACUCCACCUAGCCAUCUGGUAUAGCUUAGGUGGAGCAUCCGCCACUAUUACAUCACUUACGUAGGCCUACAUGAACCCAGUCCUUUCAGGUCUCCUAAGACAACUCGUCAAGGGCCUAGAGAAGGGAGGAUUGGUAUUGGAUUGGAAUGGGGCCAGGGCUAAAGUUCUACCAACCUUAGAAAUGGGUCAUGUGAAGAGACUCAAACACCAGGAGGAUUUGGAGAUGACAAAAAAACCUAAAAUACAUUAAAAUACAUUACUCAUCCCAAGCCCUGUGGCAAUAUUAGAUAUAGAUAGCUAUAGGAUUCUCUGAAGUGGUAUAUACAUCUCUAUGCAUGUGUCUUAACAUUAAAUAUGUCAUAUAGUACAGCUGCCAUUUAUGUUGAGAUAUAUUUAAUAUUCUGACUUGAUACACUUGUCCUCAGCUGGACACCCAUCCUCACACACACAGACCUAGCUAGACAGGUCUGCAAUAUGCCUUUACCCCCCCCCCCAUUGAGACACACAUGUCUAGUAACUACAGUCCAGACACAAGCUGCACCACCCCACCCCACCCCAUACCAACAGACACACACCCAGUUACUUCCCCCCUCCACCUCCCUCCCAUCCUCAUCCAUUCCCAACACAUUCUCAGUCUCCAUCGCCACACCACUGUCAUUGUCUGAGCCCCUUAGUGUUUUCCCACGCUUUAUUUGUCUAUGUCCUGUUUGCGGCUGGCGGGGGGCCCUGAUGAGGUCGCCAUGGCAACUAACAUUUGCAUGCCCCUGAUUGGAGUACACGGCGAGCUAAUUAUUCAGUGCAUACGCUUUAAAUAAACAAUAAAGUAGGACGUAUGGAAAUGUGGACCCCAGUAUUAGACAGGCUGUGAUUAACACUAAGCUGAAACGCCAACAAAACAUUUCAGGGAAUACUGUUUCAGUUGGACGACCUAAUUCUCUUACUUCGUCAUCCAAAUAUUUAAAAAGGAUUUAUAAUGUAACAUUAACGUUGUAACAUAUUAAUACAAUAAAAAUAUCAUUCUUAUUACAAGUCCAACUUUAAUUGUAUUUCUUUGAUUCUAUCUUGUUUGUAUUCAAACAAAUCAGAAUGUUGAUAUUUAGCAUUAUGAAGGGAUAAUAUGACGUGUGUGUGUGUGUGUGUGUGUGUGUGUGUGUGUGUGUGUGUGUGUGUGUGUGUGUGUGUGUGUGUGUGUGUGUGUGUGUGUGUGUGUGUGUGUGUGUGUGUGUGUGUGUGUGUGUGUGUGUGUGUCUAGUCUACUUGAAAGCCAACUUGACAGCAAGGGAAAACUCUGUUCCUCAACUUCAGUUCUUCAACUCCAGUUCCUAAACUAGAGAUUCAUGUGACGAGGAGAGGGUGAAGAACUGGCUACACAAGAGCACCAUGUUAAUCUAUGGCUUCUAAGCACUCCUAUGGCAAACAAAGGUGGUGGGGGGGGGGUUACCAUGACAAUGGGCGGCAUUGUUUGCCAAUCCUCCCCUUCCAUUAAUCAGGGCGAGCCGGGUCUAAUUGGCGUUUUGGUUAAGCCGGUCUCCAGACCCCUAUCCCUCCACUGGCCUAAAUAAUGGCGUUAUGCCACAAGUGCCGCCGCACCAACGGAGGACAAUGCUCUGCUUGUUGGCUGCGCUGAGCAAGGCUGAACCGCCCCACCCCCCCUCUCCCAAAAUAAACCUCACACGGAAACACAAAGAAAGCCACUCACUAUUGAGACUUCACUGUCUCCCCUCUCUCCUCAUCGGUCUCCCCUUCCUUCCUCUUUCCUUCUCUCUUUCCCUCUCUCUCUCUCUCUCUCCCCUCUCUCAUUCACUCUGCUCUCUUACGGAGCCCCCUCUUGCUCAUUUCUCUUUCUGUGUGCUCCACUUCUCUCCUCCCAAGUUGGCCCCUUGAGUUUCCAUGGACUUGGACAGAGUGAUCAACACUACUAGAAGUGUUAAUUGUCUUACCAGACGUUGGAAAACAUCUCGUCAGUGUGUGUGACUUUAUUUCCCGCUUCGACCGGUUUCCUCUAAACUCAUAUUGUAGUUAUUCUCGGGAUUAAACCAAUUCUGUCACCUGACAACAUGAAAUACUUGCUAGUGAAAGGGGUGUUACUGUACUUUUCCCGAAAUCUUUUUUUUUUUUUUCAAUAGCACAUUGAUUGAAGUUCAGUUGAAAUAAGAACUGUCCAUGCAUCAACUGUCAGUGGAUCAAAUGUCCAAUAACUCUGUGUUCAAAAUAUAGUUGUAUGUAUAUUUCUGAGUGUAUUAAGGCAUGUGCUCAAGAUUUUGGAGUUAAUAUUCUGUGUGAGGGUAUUGUAGACAGUGUGUGUGUGUGUGUGUGUGUGUGUGUGUGUGUGUAUAGCAGGUUAUCUUUCACAUGAUCUAACCAUCCUCAUCUACAUGCCCCAUGAAUAUAGAACGCUUGCAUGCCCCAUAUGCAAAUAGACCCACCGUGUUAAGUCAUUAAUAUGCACUCCUAAUUAAAACACCCUCAAUUGAUUGAAUUAAUGUCGCCGAAAUAAGUCAGGUAAAAUAAAUUCCUCUUCGCAAGCGGUUCUGAAUUCACAAAAUGGCUGAACGGCGCCAUUUGCAGCCUCAUCGCAAAGAAGGGCACAACGAACACUGCAUGAGAAUGAGGAAGACCACAGCUGCCCCUCAGAAUGCCAGCUUAAAAGACAUUCAAAAAAUCGAGUGGCUUCGUGAUUAACUCAAAUCACAUCCCCUCCUCCCAUGUCCCUCGGUGCGAUCUAUGCAAUUAACACACUGCCAGUAAUUAACGCCGUCUCGAGGCAGCCAAUGGCGCGGGAAGGCGAGGGGGGGCCAAAGCGCGAUGGGUGGAAGGCUCAGGGUUAGGAAUAGGACGCUAAAAUAACACUACCUAUGUUAUUUUUACUUACUGCCAUUUUGUGCCAGUCCUAGUCCUAUUCUAAGAUGGUGGCAGCAGGGCUGUGACUCGUUGUGCAGGAGAAGGGGGCAAACUAGGGAGGGAGGGAGAGGAGGGAGAGAGUGAAGGAUGCUGGGAUAGAGAAGUGAAUCUCUUUCAUUUAGUCAGUGCAUUACAGAAUGGUUACCAGGACAGGAAGAUAGGGGGAUGGGAGGGAUAGAGGAAGGGAGAUGAUUGUCAGGUCUACUGGCCAAUGAGUGGGACAUGCCUGCAUGUCUUUCUCAGGUUCACGCACAUGCACUCACACACACAAACAUCCAUACACUGACACAUAUCGCGCAUGCUUAAAGAAUUACUACAGUAUUCAUAUUUGGAGGAGAUGUAUAUGUCAAAACGUGCACAAAAAACUAGAUAAACCUUUGAUAUACACACUAUGGAUGAACAACAAGAUGACCUGACUAUUUUUGCUAUAUAUUCCCCCACACACACACACACACACACACACACACACACACAAGCAGCCAACAUACCCGUCCUCAUGGUAUAGUCUGCCCCUGAGCAUGCAAAUUACAUUCAUUAUGCAAAUACAUGCAAAUCAGAACCAACCAUCUGAGAAUCCAGGCUGGGAAAAAACGAGGAGAAUGAAAUGAAAUGAAUGACAGAGAGAGAGAGUGAGAAAGAAAUCAGAAACGUGGGAUAAAAAUCCUCUUUCACUGCAGGCGGCAGUGUGGAAGGAAAAAGUACGGUGGCCCAUACUAGAGCAAAAAGACUGCCGCAGAUCUUUUGUCGAAUCAAUAAACAAUCGCUAUGGCUGAUUGCUAUUUCCAUGUUAGAAUCUCCGUCUUAAACCUACAGCUAGCUGUUCAAUUGGGAUUACAGUACAGAACAGUGGCAAGUAUUUCAAAAAGCUCACCAAACAUCAAGUCUAAUGAAUAGGGAAACUCAAUCAGCUAACAAAUUCUAUCUUUAAUUGACACCAAUGUAUACAAAAAGGGAACAGAGAUGCGAGACGGCUACAAGUACUGCAAAGACUGAGUGUACUAACAGGUCCAGUGACAGUCACUUUUUCUACAGAUCAUUUACACAAUACCCCCAUCUAUGUGGACAAUUUAUGCUACAAUACUUAGCAGUGUCCAGCUACGGCUAGCACUAUAAAUAAUCAAAUAACUGCAAAUCAGUUGUGUUUUAUCUGCAAACCAAAUACUUUGAAGCUUGAUUAGCACAGCGUACAGUUUAUCUGAGCAGAGCAGAGGGACGUUGUGGGUUGGGCUCUUGAGCAAUACGCAUUUGCUUUGUGCCUCUGACUCGCUGGGGCCACUUCAGUUUCGUAAAAGCAGGCCACAUUUAUAACGCAAUGGCAUUAAAGUCAACAAAACGACUAAUUUAUAAUACAUCACCCUCAGAUUUGACCAGAAUUAAAACGAUAUAUUCUAACAGUUUGAAACACCAGAGAAACAACUAAAUGGAACUAGCCUCACCACACAAAAUAAUCAGACCAGUGAAAAUAGAAUUAACCUAUAUCGACUAAUCAGCUAAUAAAACUAACAAAAAAAAUCACCGAACAAAUAGACGGACACAUUUUUUCCCCGAGUGAACGGCAAGUAAAUCAGCAAACACUGUACACUUUGUACAGGAGGAAAAACCACAGGGCUGGAGGAGAAAAGCUAAGCUGCCUCACUGCCUCUGCUUAGAGCAAAACCGUGAGAUAAGUUCUGGAUUUUUAGUCAAAGCAUGUAAGAUGGACGCCUCUUUGUGAACAAGAGUGUGGUAGGUGAGAGACAGGGAAAGAGGAGCAGGGUAGAGUAUGUUUUUAGAGAGGGGGGUGCCGCAUGGGUACCUGAAUGGCGCCACUAAUUGCCACUUGAGGUGGUACCUGCCGUCUAAGGGCCCUCGGCCCGAGCUUGAAAAGUACAGUAUGCAAAACAAGCAGCCGUUCUGGAGACCCUGACAUUAGUGACGCAGGCCGAUAUGAAGAUGCUUGGAUUAUAUGUGUACGGUAUGCUUUCUGUGUGAAUACCACAGAAUGGGGUGUGUGUUUGCGUGGAAGUAUGUCCGUAUGUCCGCAGAAAUCCAUCUACACAUGUACUGUAUGUCUACCCAUUCUACUGGAUCCACUUCUUGCUUCCUAAAUCUUUAAGCGGUGCGGGUGGCAUACAGAGACAGAGAGGGGGAGACAGAGAGGGGGAGACAGAGAGAGAGAGAGAGAGGAGGAGGCAGAAAGAAAGAGGGGGAGGCAGAGAGAGUAGCGAGGGAGAAAGAGUGAGAGCCAGAAUCAGAGAGAGAAGAAAAAAACGUCUGUCAGGAGGCCAAGCUCUGGCUAAAUGAUUGUGCUGCAGGAGUGUGUGUGUGUGUGUGUGUGUGUGUGUGUGUGUGUGUGUGUGUGUGUGUGUGUGUGUGUGUGUGUGUGUGUGUGUGCUGUGCAUGGUUGAGAGGAGUCAUUGGUGUAUGGCAAAAAUGCUUGUAUUUUUUUUUUUUACUUGAAUCGCUAACUUACUGGCUAGUUCGGCCAGUGAACGGUAAGACAUUUGGACCCUCUUUUGCUUGUAGAUGGAGGAGAAAAGUCUGAGGGAGGUCUUUGUGCAGGAGUGAUGUCUUUUACUCUAUCACUGCAGUAGAGAAACAGCUAGGUAUCUUGCGCGCUUUCUCUCUGUCUCGCUCUCCUUGCUUUAUUUGUCAGUGUUGACAAUACUGAUGGUCAUCCAAUUAUCACCGUUACUCGUACAGCUACACCUUUCAUAAAGUUGCGCCAUGAACUGCUUACCUAUGUUUCAUGCUGUAUAUCAUACCAUAAUGGCUUGCCUCUUCGGCCAACUCGAAGCCUCAUUAACUUAAAUCCACAAGAAUACACACCGGCAAAGGAUAUCAAUGAGCCUAAAACAAUCAUCCCUAAACUAGUUGUGAAAGCUAUACACCUAAACACACCAUGUAGAAAAUAGAAAAUGUAUCCUAUGCACAGUCCCCUUAUUUGGGCCAUAUGUUUUUCAACAAAAAACUCUUUUUUUUUUUUAAAGGGGGUGAGUCUGCUGCUAACAGCUUACAGUAGCUUCCUCCACUGUCCGACUGCCCCAUACUGGGCUUGAACCAGUGAUUCUCUGCUUCGCAACACACGCGACCGCCCUCUUUGACGCCAUGCGAACCGAUUAAGCAGUACAAGAGAACCCUCUUGGAUGGCUCCGUCAGCGACAUUUCAAGCUUGCUGUGGAGUGAGUUUACGGUACGCUCUUAACUCCGAUACACAUAUGUCCCCCAAAAUGUACAACACAUGCUCAUGUGAGCUUACCUUAGUGACAAUUGAGUCUGACAUUAUACUGUACCUUUAAGUCUUCUGAUUGGUCGGCUGGGCACAAACGACAGUUACUUCCUCGCGAGCGUCGCCCAUUUCGUGUUUUUUUGGUUGGCACAAGAGACCGGCCGCGCAGGAGCGUAAUGG
This 9139-nucleotide long non-coding RNA is filed under the name Salmo salar (Atlantic salmon). RNAcentral describes it as "lncRNA (ENSSSAG00000093145.1)". The record is from RNAcentral. Lineage: Eukaryota; Metazoa; Chordata; Actinopteri; Salmoniformes; Salmonidae.